GGUUCCUCUUCCCAUCCCCUGGAUUCCAUUAUUCCUAGGACUCCUUCAAGGGCCCUAACCCUUCCGGCUCUUCCUUUCCUCACCUUUCCCUCCACACGGCGCGAACUGUCCGUUUCACACUCUUCGGCUCCCCUGACAUCCAGAAACCACCACUGCCUUCCUGGCGACUCCACCCAGAAGUUCCGACACCAGCAUCUGGCCUUCGUCUCCAACCUGCACUUCUUGCCUUCCCUCCAGCCUGUCUCCGUCCACCCCGCCGAGUCCUUGUCUCCCAGACGACACUGCCACUCAUCAGGCAUGCAGCAAGCCUUCAGGAAAUGCUGACAAAACAGGAAACAAAAUCCUGGUCCUUCAGGGAAAGGAGGGCACAAUCCAGAGAGAACGUUAGAUGGGGUGGAAGGAGAAGUCACCAGUCCAGAUCUAAGGACAAGAGAAGACACAGGAAGGAAAAAUGAAGCAGGGGCCACACAGCACAUGCCAAAGAAGAUAAAGCAAAGCUUUAAACUUCAGUGCUGACAGGAACCAAGGACAUCUCCUGAGUCUCGUGGUGCAGGAAAACCCGGGGACCUGAACAACAUCUGCUACUCAGCCCCAGUCCAUCGCUGCUGAAUAUCGCCGCCAACCAGCAUUGUCAGGUCUUUUUUUUUUUUUUUUUCAGGAGGAACCAGAAAUCCAGAGCUGGUAUGAAAAUCCCACACACUUGAGAUAUUGGCAGCUACUUUCACAUAUUUUAAGAGACUUUUCAGACCAAACAAAACUGUCUGAAGCUAAAUGUGAACCCACAGCCUCCGUGUGAGAUUCCUGUGGCUCAGACUUCUUUGGCACAGGGACAUUGCCUCCACUGUGACACUGUGGCAAGGCUAAUUCCGGAAG
RNAcentral lists this long non-coding RNA (873 nucleotides) under Fukomys damarensis (Damara mole-rat). Its description in RNAcentral is "lncRNA (ENSFDAG00000026909.1)". The record is from RNAcentral. Lineage: Eukaryota; Metazoa; Chordata; Mammalia; Rodentia; Bathyergidae.